RNAcentral lists this ribosomal RNA (460 nucleotides) under uncultured bacterium. Its description in RNAcentral is "partial 16S ribosomal RNA". It matches the Rfam family "Bacterial small subunit ribosomal RNA", at positions 338 to 795 of the family's 1533-position model. The record is from RNAcentral.
CCUACGGGAGGCAGCAGUGAGGAAUAUUGGUCAAUGGACGAGAGUCUGAACCAGCCAAGUAGCGUGAAGGAUGACUGCUCUAUGGGUUGUAAACUUCUUUUAUAUGGGAAUAAAAUGUUCCACGUGUGGGAUUUUGUAUGUACCAUAUGAAUAAGGAUCGGCUAACUCCGUGCCAGCAGCCGCGGUAAUACGGAGGAUCCGAGCGUUAUCCGGAUUUAUUGGGUUUAAAGGGUGCGUAGGUGGUUUGUUAAGUCAGUUGUGAAAGUUUGCGGCUCAACCGUAAAAUUGCAGUUGAAACUGGCAGUCUUGAGUACAGUAGAGGUGGGCGGAAUUCGUGGUGUAGCGGUGAAAUGCUUAGAUAUCACGAAGAACUCCGAUUGCGAAGGCAGUUCACUGGACUGCAACUGACACUGAGGCUCGAAAGUGUGGGUAUCAAACAGGAUUAGAUACCCCAGUAGUC